Molecule: ribosomal RNA, 97 nt
Filed under: Acanthosepion pharaonis
Lineage: Eukaryota; Metazoa; Mollusca; Cephalopoda; Sepiida; Sepiidae
Source: RNAcentral
UUGAAACAGCAGUUCCCAUACGAUCACCGAAGUUAAGCAACGUCGAGUCUGGCCAGUACCUAGAUGGGUGACCGCUAGGGAAUACCAGCUGCUGUAA